AAUAAGAAAAUGACAAAUCAGAUUUUUUCUCCUGAUAUUCAACUUUUUCCCUGAAAAAUUUUAAUCUAACUAAAAAUGUUGAAUAUCUGGAGAAAAAAUAUAAUUUGUCAUUCUUCUAUU
This is a non-coding RNA of Gossypium raimondii (Peruvian cotton), 120 nucleotides long. Lineage: Eukaryota; Viridiplantae; Streptophyta; Magnoliopsida; Malvales; Malvaceae. The record is from Rfam.